This 468-nucleotide ribosomal RNA is filed under the name uncultured bacterium. RNAcentral describes it as "partial 16S ribosomal RNA". It matches the Rfam family "Bacterial small subunit ribosomal RNA", at positions 28 to 507 of the family's 1533-position model. The record is from RNAcentral.
GACGAACGCUGGCGGCGUGCUUAACACAUGCAAGUCGAACGGAAAGGCCCUGCUUUUGUUGGGUGCUCGAGUGGCGAACGGGUGAGUAACACGUGAGUAACCUGCCCUUGACUUUGGGAUAACUUCAGGAAACUGGGGCUAAUACCGGAUAGGAGCUCCUGCUGCAUGGUGGGGGUUGGAAAGUUUCGGCGGUUGGGGAUGGACUCGCGGCUUAUCAGCUUGUUUGUGUGGUAGUGGCUUACCAAGGCUUUGACGGGUAGCCGGCCUGGGAGGGUGACCGGCCACAUUGGGACUGCGGUACGGCCCAGACUCCUACGGGAGGCAGCAGUGGGGAAUAUUGCAGAAUGGGGGGAAGCCUGAUACAGCAACGCCGCGUGCGGGAUGACGGCCUUCGGGUUGUAAACAGAUUUCGCCUGUGACGAAGCGUGAGUGACGGUAAUGAGUAAAAAAGCACCGGCUAACUACGUG